GAAGAGACAGCGCCGCCGGCCGUGGGGAGCGGACGCAGCGAUUUGCUCCCCUUCGCGCAGCAACCCCCACACCCAGCACCAGGAGCCUGUUCCUCUCACACCCUCACCUGGCUGAGCCGCAGUAGUUCUUCAGUGGCAAGCUUUAUGUCCUGACCCAGCUAAAGCUGCCAGUUGAAGAACUGUUGCCCUCUGCCCCUGGCUUCGAGGAGGAGGAGGAGCUGCUUUCCCCAUCAUCUGGAAGGUGACAGAAAUGGGCUGGGAAGGUCCGAACAGCAGGGUUGAUGAUACGUUUUGGGAAAGUUGUAGAGCCUUUGCCCAGAUUGGCCCAGCAAGGAGCGGUUUUAGAUUAGAGACACUGGCUGAAUUGAGGAGUAGAAGGCUCAAACAACCCAAGGCUUUCUGCCUCCGAGAUGUGGCACCAUAGUGCAGUGCCCUGUGGCUUCACCGCCCUACUUCCACCUCCGCCCAGCCUGUAAUGUUUAUAAAAGCAGCCUCAAGGACCAAGAACCAUCUGCGAAAGGACAC
RNAcentral lists this long non-coding RNA (525 nucleotides) under Pongo abelii (Sumatran orangutan). RNAcentral's name for it is "lincRNA". The stretch from base 110 to 193 matches the Rfam family "mir-22 microRNA precursor family". The record is from RNAcentral. Lineage: Eukaryota; Metazoa; Chordata; Mammalia; Primates; Hominidae.